RNAcentral lists this ribosomal RNA (253 nucleotides) under uncultured bacterium. RNAcentral describes it as "partial 16S ribosomal RNA". It matches the Rfam family "Bacterial small subunit ribosomal RNA", at positions 524 to 776 of the family's 1533-position model. The record is from RNAcentral.
UACGUAGGGGGCGAGCGUUGUCCGGAUUUACUGGGCGUAAAGGGCAUGCAGGCGGUCGGACUCGUUUUGUGUGACAGCGGGUGGCUCAACUGCCCGAGCAUACGAAAGACGGUUUGACUUGAGGGCUCGAGAGGGACACGGAAUUCCUGGUGUAGCGGUGAAAUGCGCAGAUAUCAGGAGGAAUACCAGCGGCGAAGGCGGCGCUCUGGGCCGGUACUGACGCUGAGGAGCGAAAGCGUGGGUAGCAAACAGG